AGGGGUGGCAAACGGGCGGGUCGAGUCGGAUAUGGGCCGGAUCGAAAAUGGGUUGACAAUAAACGGAUCAAUUACCCGAUCCGCUCAUAUUUAACACGGUUAAAAAUGGGUUACCCGACGGAUAAUAUGGAUAUCCAUCUUAUCCAUAUUAUCCAAAACUACUUCAAAGAUGUUGGCUUCAUGUAGCUAAUAUGGAGAAGAUUAAUUUACCAUUUUGUUCACAAAUCCAAUCCCUAGUACAUAGUUGCGCCUCAACAUUUGUGGGAAGAAUAGAACUUCGAAACUUUUCAAUGACACGACCUCCAAGAAAAUAUUUUUUAGAAACUACCCAUCCAACCCCACCCCCACCACCCACUCCCCAACCAAAUCCCAGCCCCACCCAACGACCACCCUCGAACACACUUCAUCUUCACCUACCCACCCCAACUCCACCCCAUCGCACACCACCGCUCCACCCAACCCUCACCAACCCCCCUCCCAAAGCGUCUCUUUCAUAUAUGACUACUUUGCACUUUGAAGACAACCACAAAAAGUGACUAUGUUUGUAAACUAGUCAUUUUUUAAAAGUGACACAAAAAAAUGGCUAUUUUUGUAAAUUGACCAUUUUUGAAAGGUGACAUAAAAAUGGUUAUUUUUGCAAAAAUAUAUUUCCUACAAAACGACCGGAAAUGCAAAUUUGCAAAAAUAGCAACUUUUUUUGUCAUUUUUCAAAAAAUGGCCACUUUACAAAAGUAGCCAUUUUUGUCACUUUAAAAAAAUGGCUACUUACAAAAGUGACCGCUAUCUUAGAAAUGGCACAUUGUAAAAAUUAGUUAGUUUUUAAAGUAAUUACUUUCACAAAAUGACUGCUUAUGAAAAUUGACUACUUUCAAAAAGUUACUAUU
Molecule: long non-coding RNA, 884 nt
Organism: Lycium ferocissimum
Lineage: Eukaryota; Viridiplantae; Streptophyta; Magnoliopsida; Solanales; Solanaceae
Exons: 2
Source: RefSeq, a predicted model, not a curated record